UUUAGAAUAAAUAUUAAAAAUAAUUCCUGCCCAGGGAAAUAAAUUUAACGGCCGCAGUAUCCUAACUGUGCAAAGGUAGCAUAAUCAUUUGCCUUUUAAUUGAAGGCUAGAAUGAAUGGAUAAACGAAAUUUUUCCUGUAUCAUUUUUAUAAAAUAUAAAUUAUAUUUUAGGUGAAAAUACCUAAAUUUUAAAGAAAGACAAAAAGACCCUAUAGAAUUUAAAUAUAUUUAACAAUAAACUAUUUUAGUUGGGGCGACUAAGGAUUAUACAAAACAUCCUAAAUAUAAAAGCUUAUAUAAAUCAAAUUAUAGAUCCUAUACUUAUAGAAUUAAAAACAAAACUCCCUUAGGGAUAACAGACUUAUCUUUCUUUAAAGUUCAAAUUUACAGAAAAGAUUGGCACCUCGAUGUUGGCUUAGAGUAACCAAAUGAUGAAACAGUCAUUUAAGGUUAGUUUGUUCAACUAAUAAUUCUCU
RNAcentral lists this ribosomal RNA (476 nucleotides) under Gesiella jameensis. Its description in RNAcentral is "partial large subunit ribosomal RNA". It matches the Rfam family "Bacterial large subunit ribosomal RNA", at positions 1833 to 2597 of the family's 2925-position model. The record is from RNAcentral. Lineage: Eukaryota; Metazoa; Annelida; Polychaeta; Phyllodocida; Polynoidae.